AGAUUGAACGCUGGCGGCAGGCCUAACACAUGCAAGUCGAGCGGUAGAGAGGUGCUUGCAUCUCUUGAGAGCGGCGGACGGGUGAGUAAUGCCUAGGAAUCUGCCUAGUGGUGGGGGAUAACGUUCGGAAACGGACGCUAAUACCGCAUACGUCCUACGGGAGAAAGCGGGGGACCUUCGGGCCUCGCGCCAUUAGAUGAGCCUAGGUCGGAUUAGCUAGUUGGUGAGGUAAUGGCUCACCAAGGCGACGAUCCGUAACUGGUCUGAGAGGAUGAUCAGUCACACUGGAACUGAGACACGGUCCAGACUCCUACGGGAGGCAGCAGUGGGGAAUAUGGACAAUGGGCGAAAGCCUGAUGCAGCGACGCCGCGUGAGGGAUGGACGCCUUGGGUCG
RNAcentral lists this ribosomal RNA (395 nucleotides) under uncultured soil bacterium. RNAcentral describes it as "bacterial SSU rRNA". It matches the Rfam family "Bacterial small subunit ribosomal RNA", at positions 26 to 424 of the family's 1533-position model. The record is from RNAcentral.